Long non-coding RNA from Helianthus annuus (common sunflower), 318 nucleotides. RefSeq lists it as uncharacterized. NCBI's taxonomy places the organism in Eukaryota, Viridiplantae, Streptophyta, Magnoliopsida, Asterales, Asteraceae. The transcript is spliced from 5 exons. The record is from RefSeq and is a predicted model, not a curated record.
GAAAGUGUUGUUGUGGAAUGUGAAGACGACAAAUUUCAGUUGGCAAGUUUUGAGUCUGUGUUCAAUGAUAUUGAUGAUUCGAAGUUUGAUAACUUUUUCUCAUCUCUACUUGAAAUGGAAGACCUUAAGAAGAAGGACAAAAGCAACUUUGAGAUGGACCUGGACAAAUUUUUGAUACCGAAGAAUAACUCCCAUGUUGAUCCUACACGAAAAACAAAUAUUUUUAUUUCUGAACCGAGUCUGUCCUCCAUAGUUGUUUCUGAUACCAUUCCGAAAUAUAAAGUUGAUGUUGGUCAAAUUGUUUUGCCGAUAAAGAGG